CUGAUGUCACACUGCCAAGAAAAGCUUCUAGUGAGAAAACAACUGCCCGUACCGUAAACCGACACAGGUAGUCGAGGAGAGUAUCCUAAGGUGAGCGAGCGAACUCUCGUUAAGGAACUCGGCAAAAUGACCCCGUAACUUCGGGAGAAGGGGUGCUGACUUCGGUCAGCCGCAGUGAAUAGGCCCAAGCGACUGUUUAUCAAAAACACAGGUCUCUGCAAAAUCGUAAGAUGAAGUAUAGGGGCUGACGCCUGCCCGGUGCUGGAAGGUUAAGAGGAUGGGUUAGCUUCGGCGAAGCUCAGAAUUGAAGCCCCAGUAAACGGCGGCCGUAACUAUAACGGUCCUAAGGUAGCGAAAUUCCUUGUCGGGUAAGUUCCGACCCGCACGAAAGGCGUAACGAUUUGGGCACUGUCUCAACGAGAGACUCGGUGAAAUUUUAGUACCUGUGAAGAUGCAGGUUACCCGCGACAGGACGGAAAGACCCCAUGGAGCUUUACUGUAGUUUGAUAUUGAGUGUUUGUACCACAUGUACAGGAUAGGUAGGAGCCGAUGAGACCGGAACGCUAGUUUCGGAGGAGGCGCUGGUGGGAUACUACCCUUGUGUUAUGA
This 609-nucleotide ribosomal RNA is filed under the name Klebsiella pneumoniae. RNAcentral's name for it is "partial 23S ribosomal RNA". It matches the Rfam family "Bacterial large subunit ribosomal RNA", at positions 1594 to 2216 of the family's 2925-position model. The record is from RNAcentral. Lineage: Bacteria; Pseudomonadati; Pseudomonadota; Gammaproteobacteria; Enterobacterales; Enterobacteriaceae.